This 809-nucleotide ribosomal RNA is filed under the name uncultured marine bacterium. Its description in RNAcentral is "bacterial SSU rRNA". It matches the Rfam family "Bacterial small subunit ribosomal RNA", at positions 89 to 935 of the family's 1533-position model. The record is from RNAcentral.
UACUGAGUGGCAAACGGGUGAGUAUAAUGUGGGAAUCUGCCUUUUGGUCUGGAAUAACACGGGGAAACUUGUGCUAAUACCGGAUAAGCCCUCACGGGGAAAGUUUUAAUGCCGAAAGAUGAGCCCGCACUUGAUUAGCUAGUUGGUAAGGUAAAAGCUUACCAAGGCAACGAUCAAUAGCUGUUCUUAGAGGAAGACCAGCCACAUUGGGACUGAGACACGGCCCAGACUCCUACGGGAGGCAGCAGUGGGGAAUCUUGCACAAUGGGGGAAACCCUGAUGCAGCGAUGCCGCGUGAGUGAAGAAGGCCUUUGGGUUGUAAAACUCUUUCGUCGGGGAAGAAAAUGACUGUACCCGAAUAAGAAGGUCCGGCUAACUUCGUGCCAGCAGCCGCGGUAAUACGAAGGGACCUAGCGUAGUUCGGAAUUACUGGGCUUAAAGAGCUCGUAGGUGGUUAAAAAAGUUGAUGGUGAAAUCCCAAGGCUCAACCUUGGAACUGCCAUCAAAACUUUUUAGCUAGAGUGUGAUAGAGGUAAGUGGAAUUUCUAGUGUAGAGGUGAAAUUCGUAGAUAUUAGAAAGAACACCAAAUGCGAAGGCAACUUACUGGGUCACUACUGACACUGAGGAGCGAAAGCAUGGGUAGCGAAGAGGAUUAGAUACCCUCGUAGUCCAUGCCGUAAACGAUGUGUGCUAGACGUUGGAAAUAUAUUUUUCAGUGUCGCAGCGAAAGCAUUAAGCACACCGCCUGGGGAGUACGACCGCAAGGUUAAAACUCAAAUGAAUUGACGGGGACCCGCACAAGCAGUGG